CGCGGGGUGGAGCAGCCAGGUAGCUCGCGAGGCUCAUAACCUCGAGGUCGCAGGUUCGAAUCCUGUCCCCGCCA
This 74-nucleotide transfer RNA is filed under the name Planctomycetota bacterium. RNAcentral's name for it is "tRNA-Met". It matches the Rfam family "tRNA". Rfam says of the family: Transfer RNA (tRNA) molecules are approximately 80 nucleotides in length. Their secondary structure includes four short double-helical elements and three loops (D, anti-codon, and T loops). Further hydrogen bonds mediate the characteristic L-shaped molecular structure. tRNAs have two regions of fundamental functional importance: the anti-codon, which is responsible for specific mRNA codon recognition, and the 3' end, to which the tRNAs corresponding amino acid is attached (by aminoacyl-tRNA synthetases). tRNAs cope with the degeneracy of the genetic code in two manners: having more than one tRNA (with a specific anti-codon) for a particular amino acid; and 'wobble' base-pairing, i.e. permitting non-standard base-pairing at the 3rd anti-codon position. The record is from RNAcentral. Lineage: Bacteria; Pseudomonadati; Planctomycetota. RNAcentral also lists the same sequence under 8 other names.